RNAcentral lists this long non-coding RNA (248 nucleotides) under Bos taurus (domestic cattle). Its description in RNAcentral is "long non-coding RNA NONBTAT018349". The record is from RNAcentral. Lineage: Eukaryota; Metazoa; Chordata; Mammalia; Artiodactyla; Bovidae.
CUUAGCUGCUUUCAAAUACUGAAUUAGAUUUCUAACAUUAAGUAUACACGAAUCCAUUUCUUAAGUAGGUAUUUUAAAAAAUCUUGAUGUCAAAAAAAUCAGUUUUUCUCUGUUGAAGAAAAAAAAAUCAAGUUAUCUCUUAAUAUUCAAGGUAAGGCCUCUACAAACAAGCAACUGUGUCUUAACACGUCACUGUUAGCUAGUUCACUCCUCUUAUCUUAGAGAUAUCUAAGAGAUAAGACAGAGGC